Long non-coding RNA from Cyprinus carpio carpio, 1326 nucleotides. Lineage: Eukaryota; Metazoa; Chordata; Actinopteri; Cypriniformes; Cyprinidae. The record is from Ensembl.
UAUCUGCAGCAACCACAUCUUUGUCUUUUUGCUGUCCGAGACAUUAAACCAGGAGAAGAGAUUACUUACAGCUAUGGAGACUGGGAUUGGCAAGCCAAGCGUUCAUCACCUGCUCCUGUGACUGCUACAUCAUCCUCAUCCUCAUCCUCACCUGUGAGGAAAAGUUCAUCACCUGCCCCUGUUACUGCUACAUCAUCCUCAUCCUCAUCUGUGAGGAAAAGUUCAUCACCUGCCCCUGUGACUGCUACAUCAUCCUCAUCCUCAACUGUGAGGAAACGUUCAUCACCUGCCCCUGUGACUGCUACAUCAUCCUCAUCCUCACCUGUGAGGAAAAGUUCAUCACCUGCCCCUGUGACUGCUACAUCAUCCUCAUCCUCACCUGUGAGGAAACGUUCAUCACCUGCCCCUGUGACUGCUACAUCAUCCUCAUCCUCACCUGUGAGGAAAAGUUCAUCAUCUGCCCCUGUGACUGCUACAUCAUCCUCAUCCUCACCUGUGAGGAAACGUUCAUCACCUACCCCUGUGACUGCUACAUCAUCCUCAUCCUCACCUGUGAGGCAGCGUUCAUCAUCUGCCCCUGUUACUGCUACAUCAUCCUCAUCCUCAUCCUCACCUGUGAGGAAAAGUUCAUCACCUGCUCGUGUGACUGCUACAUCAUCUUCAUCCUCACCUGUGAGGAAAAGUUCAUCACCUGCCCCUGUGACUGCUACAUCAUCCUCAUCCUCACCUGUGAGGAAAAGUUCAUCACCUGCCCCUGUGACUGCUACAUCAUCCUCAUCCUCACCUGUGAGGAAACGUUCAUCACCUGCUCCUGUUACUGCUACAUCAUCCUCAUCCUCACCUGUGAGGAAAAGUUCAUCACCUGCCCCUGUGACUGCUACAUCAUCCUCAUCCUCACCUGUGAGGCAGCGUUCAUCAAGAAAAAGACAGCAGGAGAGGUUUCAGUCAAGAUUGGUCAAACUACGGGAACAUCAUAACAAUUGCUCCAAGCGCUUCAAUAGAGCAGAAGUUGAAAAAACCAACAGAACAAAAAAGACUGCCAUACUUGAGGAUUGCGUUGUAUUCGAGUCAUCUGAUGCACCCUGUGCUAUGUGUACCUCUGUAAAGGCAUCACCACCCUCUCGCCCUUCUUCACUCCCUUCAUCAUCAUCAUCAUCAGCUGCCCCUGUGAUGGGCACAUCAUCUUCAUCCUCCCCAUCAUCACCUGCCCCUUUGCCCUGUGAUGCAUCCACUUCUGUGAUCUCUCCAUCACAGGUGUCCCAGACACUCUCAAUAAGGGAGGUUCAUCAAUCCCUUCAAAAAGAAAAUGGGAGGACUCUGAGGUAA